Molecule: transfer RNA, 72 nt
Filed under: Pseudomonadota bacterium
Lineage: Bacteria; Pseudomonadati; Pseudomonadota
Also listed under: 2 other names
Description: tRNA-Ile
Rfam family: tRNA
About the family: Transfer RNA (tRNA) molecules are approximately 80 nucleotides in length. Their secondary structure includes four short double-helical elements and three loops (D, anti-codon, and T loops).
Source: RNAcentral
GGGCCCGUAGCUCAACGGCAGAGCAUCCGGCUCAUAACCGGCGGGUUUCAGGUUCGAAUCCUGACGGGCCCA